RNAcentral lists this ribosomal RNA (497 nucleotides) under uncultured bacterium. RNAcentral describes it as "partial 16S ribosomal RNA". It matches the Rfam family "Bacterial small subunit ribosomal RNA", at positions 29 to 507 of the family's 1533-position model. The record is from RNAcentral.
UAUGAACGCUGGCGGCGUGCCUAAUACAUGCAAGUCGAGCGAACGGACGAGAAGCUUGCUUCUCUGAUGUUAGCGGCGGACGGGUGAGUAACACGUGGAUAACCUACCUAUAAGACUGGGAUAAUUUCGGGAAACCGGAGCUAAUACCGGAUAAUAUUUUGAACCGCAUGGUUCAAAAGUGAAAGACGGUCUUGCUGUCACUUAUAGAUGGAUCCGCGCUGCAUUAGCUAGUUGGUAAGGUAACGGCUUACCAAGGCAACGAUGCAUAGCCGACCUGAGAGGGUGAUCGGCCACACUGGAACUGAGACACGGUCCAGACUCCUACGGGAGGCAGCAGUAGGGAAUCUUCCGCAAUGGGCGAAAGCCUGACGGAGCAACGCCGCGUGAGUGAUGAAGGUCUUCGGAUCGUAAAACUCUGUUAUUAGGAAAGAACAUAUGUGUAAGUAACUGUGCACAUCUUGACGGUACCUAAUCAGAAAGCCACGGCUAACUACGUG